RNAcentral lists this ribosomal RNA (253 nucleotides) under uncultured bacterium. RNAcentral describes it as "partial 16S ribosomal RNA". It matches the Rfam family "Bacterial small subunit ribosomal RNA", at positions 524 to 776 of the family's 1533-position model. The record is from RNAcentral.
UACGUAGGGGGCAAGCGUUGUCCGGAAUCAUUGGGCGUAAAGCGCGUGUAGGCGGUCCGGUAAGUCCGCUGUGAAAGUCGGGGGCUCAACCCUCGGAUGCCGGUGGAUACUGUCGGGCUCGAGUGCGGAAGAGGCGAGUGGAAUUCCUGGUGUAGCGGUGAAAUGCGCAGAUAUCAGGAGGAACACCGAUUGCGAAGGCAGCUCGCUGGGACGUUACUGACGCUGAGACGCGAAAGCGUGGGGAGCAAACAGG